Vitis vinifera (wine grape) is the source of this 981-nucleotide RNA transcript. RefSeq lists it as uncharacterized. The record is from RefSeq and is a predicted model, not a curated record. Lineage: Eukaryota; Viridiplantae; Streptophyta; Magnoliopsida; Vitales; Vitaceae. The transcript has 6 exons.
UGCUACUGCCCUACAAUCACCAUACGUGGUACAACCGUCAAUCAAAUUUUCAGCGUCUUCAUCUGUAGCAAAGCAAGUUUUGGCAUAUGCAUUGGACGAUACACGUGAUGAAAGCCAAAUAUUAUGUUCCAUGCACAAUUUCUUCUUGACAAGGUUUGACUUGAAAUGCUUGGGACCCGACAAAUUGGUUGACAAUAAGGUAUUCAUAUUUAGUUAUGUGAAGUUAGGAUAAAAUUACUCUAAAACUAUAUAUCUAAUUUUCAUUAAUUUACAUGAAGGUUGUAACCAUGCAUUGUCGAAUUUUGAAUGGUAUGGAUAAAGAAAAUAGGAAGCAUUUCUUAUCUCCAAACUUUGUGUCUGAUGUGGAAAACAAGAGGGGUUCCUUAUCUCCAAAAUACAUAUGUGACAAUUUAUGGAAAUAUUUCAAAAAUACUCGGUUGUGCACAUAUGAACAGUUGUUCAUACCAAUAUGCAGGAAAAAUCACUGGUAUUUAAUCAUUUUGAAUAUUCAUGCGAAAAGAAUCGAGUUGUUGGAUUCAUUAAUUGACGGAAGGAAAAAACGGAUGGAUGCCUUCAUAGAGAAACUAGUAAAUAUAGUUAUAGUCCAAUUACUUAUGUGAAUCGUUGUCAUUAUUUUUUAAAGAUGUCCAUAUUUAUAAUUGUAUAUUGUGUUAAGGUGAACGUUUUGUCAACUGUCAUUGGGAUUCAAGAAAGAAGACCAUCAGUGGACAUGACAGAAUUUGAAUUUGUUGUUCCAGAAGUUGUCCAACAAUUGAAUCCAACGGAUUGUGGCAUAUUUGUAAUCAAGUUUAUGCAAUUAUGGAGUAACGGUGGACUUUCUCGUGCAAUUGCAAAUGACAAGGUCAUAAAGUACAGGGAAAAACUCCUAACACAACUGAUAAUGUCUCCAGAAAAUGAAGUCAGGGAAAAUGUAUACCAGGCUAUGGAUCAGUGAUGUUGUAAUUUUUUUGGUUUAUAGUU